RNAcentral lists this ribosomal RNA (253 nucleotides) under uncultured bacterium. Its description in RNAcentral is "partial 16S ribosomal RNA". It matches the Rfam family "Bacterial small subunit ribosomal RNA", at positions 524 to 776 of the family's 1533-position model. The record is from RNAcentral.
UACGAGGGGGGCAAGCGUUGUUCGGAAUUAUUGGGCGUAAAGGGCGCGUAGGCGGUGCGGUAAGUCACCUGUGAAAUCCCCAGGCUUAACCUGGGAACUGCGUCUGAUACUGGAUGGCUUGAAUUCGGGAGAGGGAUGCAGAAUUCCAGGUGUAGCGGUGAAAUGCGUAGAUAUCUGGAGGAAUACCGGUGGCGAAGGCGGCAUCCUGAACCGACAUUGACGCUGAGGAGCGAAAGCUAGGGGAGCAAACGGG